CUUUAUGGCGGGCCGUACGGGCAACCUUCGGGUUGGCCGGUUUCCUUUUUGUCCGGUAUUGCGACCCCGUACAGCCCGCCGCCCUU
Molecule: non-coding RNA, 86 nt
Filed under: Candidatus Kentrum sp. FM
Lineage: Bacteria; Pseudomonadati; Pseudomonadota; Gammaproteobacteria
Source: RNAcentral